This 329-nucleotide unclassified non-coding RNA is filed under the name soil metagenome. Its description in RNAcentral is "partial contains 5.8S ribosomal RNA, internal transcribed spacer 2, and large subunit ribosomal RNA". The stretch from base 1 to 120 matches the Rfam family "5.8S ribosomal RNA", at positions 35 to 154 of the family's 154-position model. The record is from RNAcentral.
GAUGAAGAACGUAGCGAAAUGCGAUAAGUAAUGUGAAUUGCAGAAUUCAGUGAAUCAUCGAAUCUUUGAACGCACAUUGCGCCCCUUGGUAUUCCGGGGGGCAUGCCUGUCCGAGCGUCAUUACAACCCUCAAGCUCAGCUUGGUGUUGGGCCCCGCCGCCCCGGCGGGCCCUAAAGUCAGUGGCGGUGCCGUCCGGCUCCGAGCGUAGUAAUUCUUCUCGCUCUGGAGGUCCGGUCGUGUGCUCGCCAGCAACCCCCAAUUUUUUUCAGGUUGACCUCGGAUCAGGUAGGGAUACCCGCUGAACUUAAGCAUAUCAAUAAGCGGAGGA